GCUCCAAUAGCGUAUAUUAAAGUUGUUGCAGUUAAAAAGCUCGUAGUUGGAUUUCUGGUUUGAGCGUCCGGUCGAGUUAUCUCUGUACUAUGGAUGUUUGAGCCAUAUUUUGUGAGGAUGCCUUUCUGCCAUUGAGUUGGUGGUUGGGUAGACUUGCAUCGUUUACUGUGAAAAAAUUAGAGUGUUUAAAGCAGGCGUUU
This 200-nucleotide ribosomal RNA is filed under the name uncultured eukaryote. Its description in RNAcentral is "partial 18S ribosomal RNA". It matches the Rfam family "Eukaryotic small subunit ribosomal RNA", at positions 588 to 789 of the family's 1831-position model. The record is from RNAcentral.